Molecule: ribosomal RNA, 497 nt
Filed under: uncultured bacterium
Lineage: Bacteria
Description: partial 16S ribosomal RNA
Rfam family: Bacterial small subunit ribosomal RNA
Source: RNAcentral
GAUGAACGCUGGCGGCGUGCCUAAUACAUGCAAGUAGAACGCUGAAGCUUGGUGCUUGCACCGAGCGGAUGAGUUGCGAACGGGUGAGUAACGCGUAGGUAACCUGCCUCUUAGCGGGGGAUAACUAUUGGAAACGAUAGCUAAUACCGCAUAAAAGUCGAUAUCGCAUGAUAUUGAUUUGAAAGGUGCAAAUGCAUCACUAAGAGAUGGACCUGCGUUGUAUUAGCUAGUUGGUGAGGUAACGGCUCACCAAGGCGACGAUACAUAGCCGACCUGAGAGGGUGAUCGGCCACACUGGGACUGAGACACGGCCCAGACUCCUACGGGAGGCAGCAGUAGGGAAUCUUCGGCAAUGGGGGCAACCCUGACCGAGCAACGCCGCGUGAGUGAAGAAGGUUGUCGGAUCGUAAAGCUCUGUUGUAAGAGAAGAACGAGUGUGAGAGUGGAAAGUUCACACUGUGACGGUAACUUACCAGAAAGAGACGGCUAACUACGUG